This 328-nucleotide ribosomal RNA is filed under the name uncultured eukaryote. RNAcentral's name for it is "partial 18S ribosomal RNA". It matches the Rfam family "Eukaryotic small subunit ribosomal RNA", at positions 1470 to 1796 of the family's 1831-position model. The record is from RNAcentral.
CCCUUAGAUGUCCUGGGCCGCACGCGCGUUACACUGAUGCAUUCAACGAGCUUAUAACCUUGGCCGAGAGGCCUGGGCAAUCUUGUUAACGUGCAUCGUGAUAGGGAUAGAUUAUUGAAAUUAUUAAUCUUGAACGAGGAAUUCCUAGUAAACGCAGAUCAUCAAUCUGCAUUGAUUACGUCCCUGCCCUUUGUACACACCGCCCGUCGCACCUACCGAUUGGAUGGUCCGGUGAAGCCUCGGGAUUGUGGUUCUUGCCGCUUUAUUGUGGCUUGACCGCGAGAACUUGUCUAAACCUUAUCAUCUAGAGGAAGGUGAAGUCGUAACA